This is a long non-coding RNA of Gasterosteus aculeatus aculeatus (three-spined stickleback), 1969 nucleotides long. NCBI's taxonomy places the organism in Eukaryota, Metazoa, Chordata, Actinopteri, Perciformes, Gasterosteidae. The record is from Ensembl.
AUAUGACUGCAGUCUUGGUUUUAUGACUGUAGUCUUGAGUUUACGACUGUAGUCUUGGUUUUAUGACUGUAGUCUUGAGCUUAUGACUGCAGUCCUGAGUUUAUGACUGUAGUCUUGAGUUUAUGACUGUAUCUUGUUUAUGACUGUAGUCCUGGGUUUAUGACUGUAGUCUUGCGGUGCUACACUCACUCAUCAUGAACUCCAGUUGUAGUCCUGGUUUGGCCAAAACGUUCUGCUUUUAAAAUGCGUCAUGUGACAUGAACGUUGCUAAUGAAGGCUGCAGGUGAACGGGCCUUUUGCAUAAUGUAUCAAACUCUGGUAUCAAUCAUCAAUAUCAAUGCGUUCCCUGUCAUGACAUCAUUCCGGACUCUUCUAACAGACAUUGGACUGCUCACCAUGUGGCAUAAAUGUGAAGUCAGCAGCCUUUUCUCUUCCCAACAGUUCUGAGACGCUGCAUCCUGGUUCCAUGACGUGUUUGAUGCAAAUGUAACUCCAUAGUGUUUUCAUUUACCUCACAUACUCAUAUUGUCUUUUGCUCUGAAAUUCAAAAAUGAAGUGUUACCUUCUUCGUUUCCCUUAUUGAGACAAGGAUGGACACAAUAUUGUUCUUGGUUAUGUGAAAUAUAGAGUUGAAUGUGUGAUGUUUCAAAGCAUUUGUGUCCUGUGAAGGUUUGGGGUUUUACAAGAAAGGUUAGCAAGCUGCUUUUUUGAAAUCAUAGCACUUUUUGUAAAUUGAAUACCUUUUAUUUUCCUUCAUUGCCUUUUGUUAAAAUACCUUUACUACAAAUGUAUAGAUGAUAUAUUUAGCUCUUUUAGAGAACAAUAACAUGUAAAUACAAUAUAGUGUUUUAUUUUUACAGGUACAAUGACAGUGUUUUACUUAUCAAAGUGUCCCUUUUGCUUUACUUGCACAAGUGUUCUGUGUGUCUCAUUGAGGGCUCUUCUAACAAACGCCUGGUUCUGCAGAAGGUUUGAACAGCCCAGCGAUGGUUUGGGUGAGAGCACAAGCGUGAUGGAGCUUGGAUGGAUGCUUCCAUCACUUGUAAAGAGACAAACCAGAUAUACUGUACGUUCGCUCAGUCCCAGGGUUGUUUUCUUCUUCUGUCAUACUUUGACCUCAGUGGGACAUUCUGAGAAUAUACGACUUGUUUUCUUAGUGGUUUCUGCCUGAAGGCUGUUCAUCAGCUAACUGCAUUAUUGUGGAUGACAGUUGAGAGGUAAAAACUAAUCUAGCCGUCCUGGGAAACGGCGUGGUGACCAGGAGACGCUCUUCAGUGAGAGGCACAGACCUUCAGCAAUCCAUGUCGACCUUCUUCAUAAGCUCCAGUGGUACCAGUGAACUUUAUUGAAUGUGUAUGUAAGAAACACUGCAAUACUGCGAUUUAUAUAUUUUGGUAUUGGAUCAAGCUGCUAACAUACUGAAGGUGCAACAGACCUCCUUUCUACUUCUUAAACGUAUCGUUUGUACAGACUAAAUAUCCAGCUCGUGCUUGUACCAUAUAGCUGCAUACAUGUCAUUGUUCUGUGAUAUCACAUGGAGCCCCGACGGAGGUCCUUCUGCAGAGACGACGUGAUGUUCAUUCCAGCCGCGUUGCUUUGGGGAUCGAUGGCGUCCUGUGACAGUGAUGGACUCAUUGCUAAUUCUCUAUAUGUUACUUCAAUUUUACAAACUACUGUAGUGUUUUAUGAAUAUAGGCAAAGUUAUUCACAUGAACAUAUAUGUGUGUAUAUAUAUAUAUAUAGUAAAUAUAUAUGUAUAUGUUUACAGGUUGUAAAAUAAAAGUGAACGCUGCAGCAUAUUUAUCUGUUGUUUUCUAAACAUCGACGUCAUCCAAAGAGGCAGAUUAUUUAUUGUCUGGCAGAAUAACCAUGAUUUGAUUUACACACCUUGCUGCUAUGAGAGAAAAGAACUGCAGUCGUCAACUCCAGUGUUUUUACCCAAUGAAAGUUGAAUAAACGUAAAAUAUGG